CAUUGUGAAUUACCACUGCUUAUAUUAAUUAUUUGUUCAGAGUUGGUAAAAUGGCUCAUCAACUUAAAGAUAGCUUAAAGCAUGGAUUUGUGUCCUAAAUAACAGGUUUCUCUAUGAACUUCCCCUAAAAAGGCUCAAACAUUGUCUCACACAGGUUCACUAUUAUGAAGAUGGCAAUGUUCAGUUGGUUAGUCAUAAAGAUGUACAGGAUUCACUAACUGUUUCGAAUGAAGCCCAGACUGCCAAGGAGUUUAUUAAAAUCAUAGAGAAUGCAGAAA
This 278-nucleotide small RNA is filed under the name Pan troglodytes (chimpanzee). RNAcentral describes it as "processed transcript". Lineage: Eukaryota; Metazoa; Chordata; Mammalia; Primates; Hominidae. The record is from RNAcentral.